GACGAACGCUGGCGGCGUGCCUAAUACAUGCACGUAGGACGCAGUUGCGAACGGGUGAGUAACGCGUCGGUAACUGACUAUGAGAGGGGGAUAACUAUUGGAAACGAUAGCUAAUACCGCAUACUAGUAGAUGGACCUGCGUUGUAUUAGCUAGUAGGUAGGGUAAUGGCCUACCUAGGCAACGAUACAUAGCCGACCUGAGCUGGUGUUCGGCCACACCGGGACUGAGACACGGCCCAGAAUCCUACGGGAGGCAGCAGUAGGGAAUCUUCGGCAAUGGGGGGAACCCUGACCGAGCAACGCCGCGUGAGUGAAGAAGGUUUUCGGAUCGUAAAGCUCUGUUGUUAAGGAAGCGGUACUUAACCAGAAAGGGACGGCUAACUACGUGCCAGCAGCCGCGGUAAUAC
Molecule: ribosomal RNA, 407 nt
Filed under: uncultured bacterium
Lineage: Bacteria
Description: partial 16S ribosomal RNA
Rfam family: Bacterial small subunit ribosomal RNA
Source: RNAcentral